UUGCAAUUUUCUGUUUGUUUUCGAAACAUCUGCCGAAGCUCUAACUUUUGCACCUACUGCUCCCAACAAUUUUUGCCAUCUUUACCAGGUCACAUGUUCCUUGCGAUGUGGACAGGUUCAAUGAAGGUUGGAAGUUUGAAAGCAUGUUUGAACAUUAUAGAAGUAUAGACUGGAUUCAAAGGGACGAGAUUUUAUAUACAGUAGCAAUAUUUUAAUAUG
Non-coding RNA from Schizosaccharomyces pombe (fission yeast), 219 nucleotides. The record is from the annotation of a GenBank genome assembly. NCBI's taxonomy places the organism in Eukaryota, Fungi, Ascomycota, Schizosaccharomycetes, Schizosaccharomycetales, Schizosaccharomycetaceae.